UCUGUUCCAUAGGUUAUGAUAGCAUUAAAAUGUGAAGAAUACACCAUUCACAUAGCAUCAUCUGUUACUGGGCAUUUAAUGUUUCUGAUGGCACAUAUAGCUGAACUUAGCUUGUCAGAGUUAGCAACAUAGUCUUUCAAAAGUAAAUAGUCAUCUAUGGGGAGGCCUAAGAAAUUUGUGAAUUGAACUACAUUCCUAUUCAGUUCUUGCAGUUGUGGCAGAUCCUCUAUUCUCCUUCUGCUAUUGUUCCUAAAUAGUAUUGUUUUAGUUUUCUCUUUAUUGAGACUUAGCCUGUUGAUUCCAAGCCACUGAGUUAUAGAUUCAUGUAUCAAUUUCCUUUUUCUUACAGCCUCAUUUACAUUUGCACAAAUGGUUAUGCUAGUGGUAUCAUCUGCAAAAAGAAUCAUUUGGCUUUCAAUAUUAAGAGGUAUGAUUUAUUGGUACUAAGAGCUGUUCCUCUUAUCCUGCAGUGAUCAACUUUUUGAAAUAUCAUGGUCAACUAGGUUUAAAGCUUUUGAUAAGUCACAAAAUAUACCAAGAGGAUUUUUGCCUUGAUCUAAUGCCUCUGAGAUUACAUUUUUGCAUUUGUAGGAACAUUAGCAUCACUUGCCAGAGAAAAUGAUUUGCAGUCUUGUAUCUGAUAGUUGAUGAUAACAGUUCAGUUUGCUCAAUGACCUGGGUGUGUUAUGUUGCAUAUUCUUGUAUGUAUCAAGUUUCUCUAAAAUAAAGUGUGCCAUGUACCCCAUA
This is a long non-coding RNA of Schistocerca gregaria, 747 nucleotides long. RefSeq lists it as uncharacterized. Lineage: Eukaryota; Metazoa; Arthropoda; Insecta; Orthoptera; Acrididae. The record is from RefSeq and is a predicted model, not a curated record. The transcript is spliced from 2 exons.